UACGUAGGGCGCAAGCGUUGUCCGGAAUUAUUGGGCGUAAAGAGCUCGUAGGCGGUUUGUCGCGUCUGUCGUGAAAGCUUGGGGCUUAACCCCAAGUCUGCGGUGGAUACGGGCAGACUAGAGGCAGGUAGGGGAGAACGGAAUUCCCGGUGUAGCGGUGAAAUGCGCAGAUAUCGGGAGGAACACCGGUGGCGAAGGCGGCAUCCUGGACCGGUAUUGACGCUGAGGCGCGAAAGCUAGGGGAGCAAACGGG
Molecule: ribosomal RNA, 253 nt
Filed under: uncultured bacterium
Lineage: Bacteria
Description: partial 16S ribosomal RNA
Rfam family: Bacterial small subunit ribosomal RNA
Source: RNAcentral